This 497-nucleotide ribosomal RNA is filed under the name uncultured bacterium. RNAcentral's name for it is "partial 16S ribosomal RNA". It matches the Rfam family "Bacterial small subunit ribosomal RNA", at positions 28 to 507 of the family's 1533-position model. The record is from RNAcentral.
GAUGAACGCUGGCGGCGUGCCUAAUACAUGCAAGUCGAGCGAACGGACGAGAAGCUUGCUUCUCUGAUGUUAGCGGCGGACGGGUGAGUAACACGUGGAUAACCUACCUAUAAGACUGGGAUAACUUCGGGAAACCGGAGCUAAUACCGGAUAAUAUUUUGAACCGCAUGGUUCAAAAGUGAAAGACGGUCUUGCUGUCACUUAUAGAUGGAUCCGCGCUGCAUUAGCUAGUUGGUAAGGUAACGGCUUACCAAGGCGACGAUGCAUAGCCGACCUCAGAGCGGGGUAGCCCACCCUGGAGCUGCGCCGCCGUCAUGGGUCCUGCGGGACGGCGCAGUCGGGAAUGUGCCGCAACGGGCGGAAGUAUGACAGAGCGACGCGGAGUGAGAGACAGAGGUGUUCCGAUCGUAAUACCGGGUUACUAGUUAAGAACCGAUGUGUACGGAACUGUGCACAGCGUGACGGUAACUAAUAAGAAAGCACCGGCUAACUACGUG